GUGGAACAGCUAUAAAAAAUGGGUCAUUUGGACGCUUACUUUUUCUGUCUGCCAGAGAAACAUUCCAAGGUGGUGUGGCCCCCUUGACCUGUUAGGGGUGAUACAGAUGUCUGGGAACACAGCA
This 124-nucleotide small nucleolar RNA is filed under the name Castor canadensis (American beaver). RNAcentral's name for it is "Small nucleolar RNA SNORA77 (ENSCCNG00000009841.1)". It matches the Rfam family "Small nucleolar RNA SNORA77", at positions 18 to 125 of the family's 125-position model. From Rfam's summary of the family: ACA63 (SNORA77) is a member of the H/ACA class of snoRNAs that guide the sites of modification of uridines to pseudouridines. This snoRNA was identified by computational screening and its expression in mouse experimentally verified by Northern blot and primer extension analysis. ACA63 is proposed to guide the pseudouridylation of 18S rRNA U814. The record is from RNAcentral. Lineage: Eukaryota; Metazoa; Chordata; Mammalia; Rodentia; Castoridae.